GCCCGGAUGGCGGAACUGGUAGACGCAAGGGACUUAAAAUCCCUCGACCUAACGGUCGUGCCGGUUCGAUUCCGGCUCCGGGCACCA
Molecule: transfer RNA, 87 nt
Filed under: Geobacter sp.
Lineage: Bacteria; Pseudomonadati; Thermodesulfobacteriota; Desulfuromonadia; Geobacterales; Geobacteraceae
Description: tRNA-Leu
Rfam family: tRNA
About the family: Transfer RNA (tRNA) molecules are approximately 80 nucleotides in length. Their secondary structure includes four short double-helical elements and three loops (D, anti-codon, and T loops). Further hydrogen bonds mediate the characteristic L-shaped molecular structure. tRNAs have two regions of fundamental functional importance: the anti-codon, which is responsible for specific mRNA codon recognition, and the 3' end, to which the tRNAs corresponding amino acid is attached (by aminoacyl-tRNA synthetases). tRNAs cope with the degeneracy of the genetic code in two manners: having more than one tRNA (with a specific anti-codon) for a particular amino acid; and 'wobble' base-pairing, i.e. permitting non-standard base-pairing at the 3rd anti-codon position.
Source: RNAcentral